CCCUUAGAUGUUCUGGGCCGCACGCGCGCUACACUGACGAAGUCAGCGAGCAUGUCCUACGCCGACAGGUGCGGGGAAUCUUGUCAAACUUCGUCGUGAUGGGGAUUGAUUUUUGAAAUUCUUGAUCAUAAACGAGGAAUUCCUAGUAAGCGCAAGUCAGCAGCUUGCGUUGAUUACGUCCCUGCCCUUUGUACACACCGCCCGUCGCUACUACCGAUUGAAUGGUUUAGUGAGACCUUCGGAUUGGCGCCACUGCAGCUCAGCAAUGGGCUUGGUGGAUGCCGAAAAGUUGAUCAAACUUGAUCAUUUAGAGGAAGUAAAAGUCGUAACA
Molecule: ribosomal RNA, 331 nt
Filed under: uncultured eukaryote
Lineage: Eukaryota
Description: partial 18S ribosomal RNA
Rfam family: Eukaryotic small subunit ribosomal RNA
Source: RNAcentral